CCGAGAGUGCAGCAUUCUCCCUACAGAGAGAAGCUGAUCACACCUGGACUAGUGAAGACUGGAGCAGUGGGUGUGGAGGAGAAGGAAGGAAGACGAAGAGAAAGAAGAACUGAGGGGCUCGAAACCCCCAUCUGAGGUAUAAGCUGCUUGUAACAUCUGCAAAAGUGCAGAUGAAGCGGCUUCCGCAUCUCUGUGAUGUGUGGCAGUGGCUCUCAUGCUAGUCCCUGCACAGACUAGCCCGGCCGCUCUCAUGCUCCCUGCAAGGCACACCUGAUGCUCCCUUCUCAGGUGAAAUGGCUGAGUCUACUCCCGUUGUGCCUGAUUCAUGAAUUCCCUGAUUUGUUUAAUCAGCUCUCAUGGAAUCCACUACUGCCCUUGGGUGUGGGCAAGCACAUGCAGUGGAGCUUGGGACACUAGCGUUGGAAUUGCUGAAUAGCUGUGCCUCUGAAGACAGACUCCUAACAAGAGUGGGCAUGUAGCCUGAACUGGCAUUGGCAACGACUCCCAUUGUCAUCAUCAGAGAGCCUUCAUCCAGUAACUGGUGGAAACAGAUGCAGAGACCCACAGCCAAACCUUAGGCCCAGCUCAGAGGACCUUGUCUGAUGCAAGUACCGCAUGCUACAGGGACCAUUUUUCCUGAAAUAAAUAUAUACUCCUCUUCUGGCCUGAAGCAUAAAACAGAAGAAUAAUAAUCAUUUGGCUACUGGACAUUUCCUCAACAGCUAAACAAACCAAGGUGAGAAAAUCGGGAACCUAGUAUUAACUCAGUCUUUGCAAUAUGUAUAGAAUCUACUUAGAAUUAAUUAACUACACAGGGAGAUCGAUAAAACUGGGGCCACACUCAGAAAGACAAGUCUCAAGUGUGCGUCUGUGAAAUCUACAGGGAAAUAAAAGAUUGCAAAUAUGAAUACAGGAAAGGGUCUGUCAGGGGAGCAUAAGGGUUUGUUGGCAGUGUGGAAGGGGGUUUAUCAAUCUUCAGUGGCAGCAGGAGAUACUGUUCCACACAGAUGGCUGUAGUAGCCUGAAUGGACCUCAACUUGGGUGGAUUUUAACUGGAGAUAGUCUUGAUUUCCACUGCAGAGAAAAAAAAUAAUUCAGGAUAAGUCAAUACCAGGCAAAUUUGGAUUUUUUUUUUAAAAAAUAUUAAUUUAAGCAUGGGUGUUGGGGUGAAGAUAGGGCUUAAUUAUAGCAGUGAUACACUCCCUGAGGUAGGCAUGGCCUGACAAAAGAGGUAUGUUGUCUCUACAACACUUACAUGAUUUUUUUUUAAAAAAAGGUUGACUUACAUAUUUAUAUUUUAAGUGUAUGCAUGUUUUGCCUUCAUGUAUGUCUCUGCACCAUAUGCAUGAAGGUCUAGAGGAGGCCAAAAGAGGUCAUCAGAUCCACUGGAACUGGAGUUGCAGAUGGUUGGGAGCUGCCAUGUGGGUGCUGGGAACUGAACCUGGGUCCUCCGUAAGAGCAGCCAAAGCUCUUAACUUCCUAGCCAUCUCUCCAUCUUACAUAG
Long non-coding RNA from Phodopus roborovskii (desert hamster), 1504 nucleotides. RefSeq lists it as uncharacterized. The transcript has 5 exons. The record is from RefSeq and is a predicted model, not a curated record. Lineage: Eukaryota; Metazoa; Chordata; Mammalia; Rodentia; Cricetidae.